UGGGGAAUAUUGCACAAUGGGCGCAAGCCUGAUGCAGCAACGCCGCGUGAACGAUGAAGGUCUUCGGAUCGUAAAGUUCUGUUGCAGGGGAAGAUAAUGACGGUACCCUGUGAGGAAGCCCCGGCUAACUACGUGCCAGCAGCCGCGGUAAUACGUAGGGGGCUAGCGUUAUCCGGAUUUACUGGGCGUAAAGGGUGCGUAGGUGGUCUUUCAAGUCGGUGGUUAAAGGCUACGGCUCAACCGUAGUUAGCCUCCGAAACUGGAAGACUUGAGUGCAGGAGAGGAAAGUGGAAUUCCCAGUGUAGCGGUGAAAUGCGUAGAUAUUGGGAGGAACACCAGGAGCGAAGGCGGCUUUCUGGACUGCAACUGACACUGAGGCACGAAAGCGUGGGUAGCAAACAGG
RNAcentral lists this ribosomal RNA (403 nucleotides) under Verrucomicrobiota bacterium. Its description in RNAcentral is "Verrucomicrobia bacterium partial 16S ribosomal RNA". It matches the Rfam family "Bacterial small subunit ribosomal RNA", at positions 355 to 776 of the family's 1533-position model. Lineage: Bacteria; Pseudomonadati; Verrucomicrobiota. The record is from RNAcentral.